This 2005-nucleotide ribosomal RNA is filed under the name Fusarium oxysporum f. sp. lycopersici 4287. Its description in RNAcentral is "eukaryotic LSU rRNA". The stretch from base 309 to 2005 matches the Rfam family "Eukaryotic large subunit ribosomal RNA", at positions 1 to 1730 of the family's 3401-position model. Lineage: Eukaryota; Fungi; Ascomycota; Sordariomycetes; Hypocreales; Nectriaceae. The record is from RNAcentral.
ACUUUCAACAACGGAUCUCUUGGUUCUGGCAUCGAUGAAGAACGCAGCAAAAUGCGAUAAGUAAUGUGAAUUGCAGAAUUCAGUGAAUCAUCGAAUCUUUGAACGCACAUUGCGCCUGCCAGUAUUCUGGCGGGCAUGCCUGUUCGAGCGUCAUUUCAACCCUCAAGCACAGCUUGGUGUUGGGACUCGCGUUAAUUCGCGUUCCCCAAAUUGAUUGGCGGUCACGUCGAGCUUCCAUAGCGUAGUAGUAAAACCCUCGUUACUGGUAAUCGUCGCGGCCACGCCGUUAAACCCCAACUUCUGAAUGUUGACCUCGGAUCAGGUAGGAAUACCCGCUGAACUUAAGCAUAUCAAUAAGCGGAGGAAAAGAAACCAACAGGGAUUGCCCUAGUAACGGCGAGUGAAGCGGCAACAGCUCAAAUUUGAAAUCUGGCUCUCGGGCCCGAGUUGUAAUUUGUAGAGGAUACUUUUGAUGCGGUGCCUUCCGAGUUCCCUGGAACGGGACGCCAUAGAGGGUGAGAGCCCCGUCUGGUUGGAUGCCAAAUCUCUGUAAAGUUCCUUCAACGAGUCGAGUAGUUUGGGAAUGCUGCUCUAAAUGGGAGGUAUAUGUCUUCUAAAGCUAAAUACCGGCCAGAGACCGAUAGCGCACAAGUAGAGUGAUCGAAAGAUGAAAAGCACUUUGAAAAGAGAGUUAAAAAGUACGUGAAAUUGUUGAAAGGGAAGCGUUUAUGACCAGACUUGGGCUUGGUUAAUCAUCUGGGGUUCUCCCCAGUGCACUUUUCCAGUCCAGGCCAGCAUCAGUUUUCCCCGGGGGAUAAAGGCGGCGGGAAUGUGGCUCUCUUCGGGGAGUGUUAUAGCCCACCGUGUAAUACCCUGGGGGGGACUGAGGUUCGCGCAUCUGCAAGGAUGCUGGCGUAAUGGUCAUCAACGACCCGUCUUGAAACACGGACCAAGGAGUCGUCUUCGUAUGCGAGUGUUCGGGUGUCAAACCCCUACGCGUAAUGAAAGUGAACGCAGGUGAGAGCUUCGGCGCAUCAUCGACCGAUCCUGAUGUUCUCGGAUGGAUUUGAGUAAGAGCAUACGGGGCCGGACCCGAAAGAAGGUGAACUAUGCCUGUAUAGGGUGAAGCCAGAGGAAACUCUGGUGGAGGCUCGCAGCGGUUCUGACGUGCAAAUCGAUCGUCAAAUAUGGGCAUGGGGGCGAAAGACUAAUCGAACCUUCUAGUAGCUGGUUUCCGCCGAAGUUUCCCUCAGGAUAGCAGUGUUGAACUCAGUUUUAUGAGGUAAAGCGAAUGAUUAGGGACUCGGGGGCGCUAUUUAGCCUUCAUCCAUUCUCAAACUUUAAAUAUGUAAGAAGCUCUUGUUGCUUAAUUGAACGUGAGCAUUCGAAUGUAUCAACACUAGUGGGCCAUUUUUGGUAAGCAGAACUGGCGAUGCGGGAUGAACCGAACGCGAGGUUAAGGUGCCAGAGUAGACGCUCAUCAGACACCACAAAAGGUGUUAGUACAUCUUGACAGCAGGACGGUGGCCAUGGAAGUCGGAAUCCGCUAAGGACUGUGUAACAACUCACCUGCCGAAUGUACUAGCCCUGAAAAUGGAUGGCGCUCAAGCGUCUCACCCAUACCUCGCCCUCAGGGUAGAAACGAUGCCCUGAGGAGUAGGCGGACGUGGAGGUCAGUGACGAAGCCUAGGGCGUGAGCCCGGGUUGAACGGCCUCUAGUGCAGAUCUUGGUGGUAGUAGCAAAUACUUCAAUGAGAACUUGAAGGACCGAAGUGGGGAAAGGUUCCAUGUGAACAGCGGUUGGACAUGGGUUAGUCGAUCCUAAGCCAUAGGGAAGUUCCGUUUCAAAGGUGCACUUUGCACCGUCUGGCGAAAGGGAAGCCGGUCAAUAUUCCGGCACCUGGAUGUGGGUUUUGCGCGGCAACGCAACUGAACGUGGAGACGACGGCGGGGGCCCCGGGCAGAGUUCUCUUUCUUCUUAACAGUCUCUCACCCUGAAAUCGGU